Molecule: ribosomal RNA, 305 nt
Filed under: uncultured bacterium
Lineage: Bacteria
Description: partial 16S ribosomal RNA
Rfam family: Bacterial small subunit ribosomal RNA
Source: RNAcentral
ACAGCAGUAGCCGCGGGAAUACGAAGGGUGCAAGCGUUACUCGGAAUUACUGGGCGUAAAGCGUGCGUAGGUGGUGGUUUAAGUCCGUUGUGAAAGCCCUGGGCUCAACCUGGGAAUUGCAGUGGAUACUGGGUCACUAGAGUGUGGUAGAGGAUAGUGGAAUUUCCGGUGUAGCAGUGAAAUGCGUAGAGAUCGGAAGGAACAUCUGUGGCGAAGGCGACUAUCUGGGCCAACACUGACACUGAGGCACGAAAGCGUGGGGAGCAAACAGGAUUAGAUACCCCAGUAGUCCCUGUCUCUUAUAC